UCUUCUUCAGUCUAGAAGGCAAAAGGCUUCUCAAAAUGGAGCCUUCUUUCCCCAGGAAAAGGGGCGGUCUCCAGAACAAACUGAUACAUUUGCAGGUUGCAAGCAGCAAAGACUUGCAAACUGGAAGCAGCCAAGCCCUGCAUGCUGGUUGCAAACCUAGCCAUCAGGGUGCUGCAGAAUCUGCAACAGCCCUGGAAUAAAUGCAAACAGAUGCUAUUCCUAUAACUAUGAAAAAAUGCAAACCAAACCUUUGGGGGACGGAACAGGGUCUCUUCCAACCCUCUUUAUUAUUUUUAUUAUGAUUAUUAUUAACAUUGAGGCUGUAUUUGUUCCUAUUUUGUUUUUUACUUCAAAAUAAGAUAUUUGCAGUGUGCAUGGGAAUUUGUUCAUAGAUUUUUAAAAAACGAUAGUCCGGCCCUCCAAUGGUCUGAGGGACCAUGAACUGGCCCCCUGUUUAAAAUGUUUGGGGACCCCUGCCCUAGAGCCUCCCCCCUUUCAGUUUCCAGUCAUGUAUUUUUAUAACCAGGUCCUCCAUUCUUUUCUCUUCUCUCUUUCUACCUCAGCCAUCCUGAGGAGAUGUUUAUGCCAUUCAGAGGUCUGCAUGCUUUUUAAUGUGGCGAUCUUUUGAAAAAGUUAAAAACCAAUGAAAUUGGAGCCUAAGUUUUGAAAACCAAUCAAAAUUCCUCUGUGAGGUGAUAUUUCUCCUUCAAUUUCCAGUCAUGGCUUCCGAUGUGUAUUCCCAGAACCAGGUCCUCCAUUGUCUUCCCUUCUCCUUUUCCACCUCAGAUGUCCUGAGGAGUUGUAUGUCAUUCAGGAGUUUGCAUGCUUUUUCAACAUGGUGAAGGGGCAAAGAUGCAAAAUGUACUCCUUUAAUCCAAAGUCAAAAGCAGGAGCCCCCUUCCAGUGGAGAGGGCGAGGAAGGACACCAUGAAAGUUGGAUCUUCAAACUACUAAAAGCUGUUUAUUGCGUGGCCAUAAUAAUGACAAAAUGCAUACAGGAAUGCAUUCAAAAGUUUUGUUGCAACCUGAAAUGGGUUGCAAGGCUUUUUAUUACUUUUACAUAAUGUUGAAAACACAUUAUUGUUCUUCAAAGAUCAAGAAUUUCUUUGGUCUAAAAUUGAUUACAUCACAAGCAUCUUAAGUUAUAAGCAUUUCCACUGGCUUUUUAUAAGCGUAACAGGCAGGAAAGCACAAACAAUGGCACAACAGCUCGGAAAACAUACAACAACCCAAUGGCACAACUAUGUCUCUGACUCUGAGCAUUGUAUCUGUGGGCCAUGCUUAUCUACUUCUGUUGCAACCAUAACUCCAAACGGCUGCGAAACUUAGGGAGCAUUAGCUAACCAGUUCUAUCCUGAUGUACUUUUUAUCAUUGAAAAGUAACCUUUUCUCUGCAGCAACCUUUUCCCAAACUGUCAGCAUUUUCUUAAACAUGGGCCUCAAAGGGCCUUUGCAAAUCAGGUCAUAUGACAGUAAAUUAGGACAUAUGGGACUUAUCGUGGUUGGAAACAUCCCUGAAAAUUCCCUUUUAAAACUACAUCUCCCUCACUGGUGGUCUUUAAAAACAAUGAAACUGGAGCCUAAGUUUUGAAAAACAGGUCCAAAGUCCUCUCUGUGGGAUUGUCAUUAUUUCUUCUUCCAUUUUUAGUCAUGACUUCUGACUUGUAUUCUCACAAACAAGUCUUCUGUUGUCUACAUUUGCUUUUCCUGAGAAGAUGUUUAAGCCAUUCAGGAGUCUGCAUGGUUUCAUAAUACGGGAUUCUUUAAAAAAUGUUUAAAAAACAGCAAAACUGGAGCCUAAAUUUUGAAAAACAGGCCCAAAGUCCUCUCUGUGGGAUUGCCAUUCUUUCCCCUUCAAUGUCCACUCAUGGCUUCCGACUUGUAUUCUCACAACCAGGUCCUCCAUUCUCUUCGCUUCUCCUUUUCCGCUUCAGCCGUCCUGAGGAGACGUGUAUGCCACUCAGGAGUUUGCACAUUUCUCCCACAUGGAGGCCUUGAAGAGAAGAGCCUCCCCCAAGGAAAGGGGCCCUGCUCUGGGGAAGAGACAGGGCCUCUCUGGGGCCCCAUCUUGAGGCCCUUCCUUCUGCCUCGGUCCCUUCAUGAGGGAGAACAUGGCCGCCGACUGGAGGCGGGAUUCCCAGCCAAGGCUCCUUCCUUGAGGGAUGAUGGUUCACGUCCCAAGUUCAACACAAAUCAUUCAUUUUGUAAUUUCCAUAUUUAUAUUUCACAUGCAUUUACAUUGUUUUAAGCUGCAUUGUGAUGUCUUUUCUUAGCAGUCUUGAGUGAAAAUCAAGUAAAUAAAUACAUAAGCAAACAAACCCCUCAAAAGAGAGAUUUUUGAGAGGAAUUUGUGGAAACCGUGACCCAAAACAGCCCUUUUUGAGUGUGACUGGGGUUCCUGCUGUUGCCACCCAACACUUUGAGGUGCCUGAGUCCUGGGAAUCAGGCACCACUUCAGUUUCCAUGUCUCAGUGCUGCGGAAUCCUAGGAGUCAUAGUUUCACCAGGGCCCUGCAAAGAGUGCUGCUGUCUUGCAAGUUUGCAGCUCCCAGGAGCCCAUUGCAUUGAGCCACGGAAAGGAAAGGGAUGUCAAACAGGGUCCAUUCUGUCCUGUAGAGUUAGCCCCUGGCAGCGGUCAGCUUCCCCAGGGACUUUCAGUUUGAAGGCCUUCUUUGCCCCUCAAGCGCCAUUUUGCUCUUCUCUGUCUCCGUUUGCCUCCCAACUUCUGUUUAAACCUCCUUGAGGUGUUUUCUGCUUUGUCUUUUGGGGUCUCCGUUUGGUUUUCUCAGAAACUUGGCUCAAAAGCAAGGCUUAAAUCACUCUUCUUGAACAAGGCCUCAUCCAGAUUUGUAGGACUACAAUUCCCAUCACCCAGGAGAGCAUGCUGGAUGAGGAUGAUGGACGCUGUAAUCUGACACAUCAGACAUUAUGGCACUGUGCAUGGAAUGGAAGUCAGUGUCUACUGAUGGGAAAACUGAAUGCCUACGUGGUGCAUCACGAGGAUAUCACCAAGACAAAUGCCCAGGAUAUGAAUAUAGGCAACUUUCAAUGGGAUUCCUGGGCUUAUGUCUGUUUGCACUUUAGGGUGCUUCCAGACAGCACAAAAUCACGGUCUGUUCCUCAUUACUUUUGUCCUAAAGACAUGGGGAAAGUUGAUUACAGGGCCAAAACUUUGACCUGGCAAGAAAAACAUCGCCAUCCACCCAUUUAUCAAAGUCUGUGACACACAAAGGUUUUGCCAUGUAAUCAACUUUCCCCAUGUUUUUAUAAUUGAAGCAAUGAGGAACUAACAUUUAUAACACAAGAACAAACCAGCAUUUAAAAAUCCCAUAUUUUUAAGGUGUAGGGACAUACAGAGAUUUGAAGAUCCGAAUCUUCUGGCCAGAACCGGGAUAUUCCCAUACUUUUUAAUUUCAUGGUUUUUUGGCUCCUGUGUUUUCAACUGACAUCGUCUAGCCACCUUCCAUUUUGAACUAGGAGCUCCUGGGAUAAAGGUGCUGUGUAGAUGGGCUCUCAGAUGCCACCAAAGGGUUGGAUUCUUGUUUUCAGGAAGCUGAAUACCAAUUAUUAAGUAUCAAUGUUUCCUUAACUUUAUUCAUGUGCAUUUUAUGUGUGGUAAGAGGAAAAAGAGGACCCUGUAUACAGGAAGACCAAAGACCCCAGUAGGGUCUGCAAGGCAAUGGGAUUAUCUCAAAGGAAUUUCAGGAGUUGCAGAGGAAGCCUCCUUCCAGAGAUCCCUUGGUCAUUGGGCCCCAAAGCAGCCAAACAUCAGCCAAAGAGCCUCUGGAAGAUACACCCAAGAUACACAUCUGGGGCUUCAGAGGGUCCCAUGGUCCAUCCUUCAAGGCAGAGGAACAGAAAAGGGAGACAUGCAGGGCCUCCCUCCCUCCCUCCCUUCCUGCUGCCCUCCUCCCUCCCAAGAGCAGCUCCAGGCUGGUAGUUGUUUUCCUUUGAAAAGGUUCCAUUCCUGCCAAGGUUCCAGGGCCGAUGGUGUUUACCUGGUUGCCAUGGAGACCGGGGGUUCCAAGCGGCCUCCAGUCGGUUGGCCCCGCCAUUGCCUUCCUGGCCACCAACAUGGUCAGAGGGCUCUCCAGGCAGGUCCAGCUGGGGCCGCCCCCAAGGAUGUCUUCUGGCCCAGGCCCCUCUGCGCGCCCCUCUCAGGAUGGCCCUGGAGAGGAAGAUCAGGACAAGGCACCCACAUCUCUGCUGCAUGGGCCCCGAAAACAUAGAGGUUGUUCCUGUGGAUUCUCCAAGACCUCUGGAGCCACAAGGAAUGUGCGCGGAGAAGCCCUCUCUCUGGACGCAGAACAUAAAAGUGAGGCCAGCAUCCAAGAUAAGGAAGGAGGCCUCUCCCUCUCAAGUUACAAACAAGAUAGGUUCUGUAGGUUUGUUCUUAAAUUGAAUUUGUUUGUAAGUUGGAACAGGUACAUCUUUAAAGUGUAACUCCAGCCUAGAGACAGAAAAAGAGAGAGAUCUUUGGAUAGCAUAGGGAAGGGUUAACAUCCCAGUGGUGUUUGUUUUACUGUCUGUGCCCAUUCAGAAGAUUUCACCUCACUUUCUGUCCCUGGGAUCAUUUGAUUUUGAAAAUAUUCCUCUGGCAUGCCAGGGAAGGACACACUUCAGCGCCAUAGCUCUUUACUCUGCUUCCGAGGCCCUUGGCCUACAAUUGACUCAGGACUGCCAAAGUAGGGGGACAUGCGUCAGGUGAUGGGAGCCCUAGGAAAGACCCUCCUUUUCCACUUACAGAGCUAGUUUACUGAUUUUCUUUUAAAUAUGGUAAAUAUUCAAAAACAUUUAACCCACUGAUGCCUCAAUUAAUGUAAUUUUAUUGGUAUCUAUUUUUAUUUUUGAAAUUUACCAGUAGCUGCUGCAUUUUCCACCCUCGGCUUAUACUCAAGUCAAUAAGUUUUCCCAGUUUUUGUGGUAAAAUUAGGUGCCUCAGCUAAAAUUAGGCUUAUACUCAAGUAUAUAUGGUAGAUCUUGAUAAUUGGGAAUAUCUGUGGAAGAAAGGUUUCAAAUUCACAGUGGCCACCUCAAUUAGAGACAAUUUAUAUAAAAUGUUCUACAGGUUUUAUACAAUCCCAGCUCUCCUAGCCAAAAUAGAUAAUUCACAAUUAGGAUUCUGUUGGAGGUAUAAAUAAAGAAAGGGACCUUUUUUCCAUGUGUGGUGGUCUUGUGAAUUGGUGCAGGCUUAUUGGGAAAAAAUAUCAAGGAAACAAAUAAAAUGAUCCACAACAAAGUUUUUAAAAAUCCAGGGAUUUGCCUAUUAGGGCUAUUCAGAGAAGCCAAAAAGAGAAAUUUGCCAGUACAGCUUUGCGGCUGCACAUAUAACGAUUGCCAAAAAUUGGAAAGAUGAAAAAACAUUAUCAAAGGUUGGAGGGAUAAACUGUGGGCUAACGCACAGAUGGCCAAGAUUUGAAACACGAAAGCCAUGAAGUUUUUGGAAGAAACUGGAAGCUGGCUAUAGCAUAUCUGAUGGGAGAAUUUAAGAAAUAAAAACAAGAGGAAUUAAUUGACCUAGAAGUAUAGAGAGGUAAAUAAAAUGUGCAUAAACUCUUCGAGGAUUAGUGACAGAAGCCAAGGUGGUGGGUUGCACUGUGAGCGGGAUGAGGGGUAAUUGUAUUGUAUGGGUGGUGGCUUGUCUAUGUAUGUGUAUGUCUACAUGUUUGUAAUGUGUAUUGUGGAUGCAUUAUAAUUUUAAAAUAAAAUGUAAAAAAAGAGUGUGAUGCAGUAGCCUAAAAAGCCCAUGCGAUUCUAGGCUGCAUCAAUAGAAGCAUAGUGUUGAGAUGGAGGGAAAUCCUAGUCCCUCUUAUUUGGCUUUGGUCAGACUUCAGAUGGUUCCAGACAGCAGUAAAGUCCGCUUUGACUGCCUUCACUUUAUGCAGCCGCUGUCUACAUAUCCUUCUGGUACCUACAGGGAGAACAGAGAGACAGCCCCCCCCCCAAAAAAAAACCCUUUUAAAAAUAAAAGAACUUACCCAUCCUCCAUUAGCAUGGUGCUGGAGCUUUCCUGUUGCAUAGAAAUGACAUCCUAGGAGAGGGGGGGGAGGCAGGAGCGAUUUUCCUCCACCCCCCUCCCCUUUCUCAUGGUGCAUCAUUCCUACGAUCCAAGUGAACACUGGCACCACACUAAUGGAGGCCGGGUAAGUUCUUUUAUUUUUAAAAGGGGUCUUGGGGGGGUUCAGGGAGUUACAGCACUGUUGCUUUUCUUGAGUCUGAAUCACCCCAGAAAACACAAGACGGCUGUGCAGACGGCUCCCUCAGAAGUCUCAGGACUUCUGAUUGGCCAGUCUAGACAGCAGCCAUAGUGGCUUUGCCCUGAGCCUUCCAAAGAGGCACGGAACAAACCCAAUAACGAAUUAAUUCACUACAAAGCAGGGUUUUCCUGCUUUGUGGUGAAAGCAGUCGUGAUUUCUUGGGGCGACAUCUGGACACCCCCCACAACUAUCUGACAUGGAGCGCAUUUUGCACCCUGUCUGUGUGCGCCCUUCUUCACCUGGAAUAACCUUGUGUCCAGUUCUGGGCAAAGCAAUUCAAGUAGGCUCUUGACAAGUUGGAAUAUAUCCAGAGAAGGGCAAUGAAUAUAAUCAGAGAUCUGGAAGCCAACCCCAUUCUGCCCUUCAGGCCUCAUUCUAUGAGGCCUGUAAACCAUGAAUUCCUAUGAGGACCGGCUCAAGGAGCAGGGUGUGUUUAACUUAGAGAAAAGAAGGCCGAGAAGGAUAUGAGAGCAAUUUUUAAAUAUCAGAAGGAAUGUCACAUUGAGGAGGGGGAAGCUCGAUUUCUGCUGCUGUAGAGACAAGGGCAUAAAGGAGCAAUAGAUUCCAACCACAGGAAAAGAGAAUUUGCCUAAACAUUAGGAAGAAAUUCCUGAUGGAAAAAGCUGUUUGAUUGUGGGCUUUUGCUGCCUGGGAGUCCAGUAGGGCUUCCCUCUCCUGAAUGGCAGAAGUGGGCUGGACUAGAUGGCCUUUGGUUGUAUCUGCCAACUCUAUGUUUCUUUGAAUGUAUGAAUCUACAAUCCAUCAGCAGCUGUAGCCACAGAAAUCAAGCUUACUCCCUCCCCAAUAGGACACCCCUCCAAAUGUUUAAACAUGGUCCUCAUCUCCCCUCUCUGCCUUCUCUUUUCCAAGGCAAAUAUUCCUGGCACUCUCAGCAGGUUCUCAGAGGGAGUCAUGGUUCUCAGAUUUUUCACCCUUUUGGUCACUCUUCUCUGGACACAAUCUAGUUUGUCCCUGCCUUUCCUGACCUUUGGUGCCCAGAACCUAACACAGUCUGACCAUAGCAGAAAAGAUGCCUGUCUUCAGAGGGAGACAGAGCUUUAGGGACAGAAAAUGAUUUGUGGGUUGAAUGUCCCAUGGGAACUGUGACUCCUGAGAAAGAUGACUGCCCUUUCCCCUUGGGUUCCUCCAUCCCGUUUGCUCCCUUUUCCUCAUAGAACCUGGGCCAAGGAAGCGGUCAGCAUCCAAGAAAGUAGGGCUAUUCCACUGUUUCCCAGGUGUGCCUUCGCUGAAGAAGGGAGGGGAUCCUGCAACCCUUAGCAGCCCAUGGCAGUGUGGUCAAUGCGAAAGAAUGCUGGGGUGGCAGUCCAAACUUUACUGGGGAUUCCAGUCUUGAGAGAGAGAAGGGGAUGGAAAAAGGGAGAUUGCAAUGGAAAAGCCCUUCUUCUGUGGAGCUUUGAGUCCCCCUUUCUUUCCUUACAGUUUCUGGAGAGAGACAAGCUCCCCUGGGAGGUCAGCAGCCUUUGGAGAUCCUGGAGGAGGGGGCGGCCCACGGCCUCGAUACAGAGAGGAACCUCCUUCCCAGGUUCAGGGGCACAUGGCAGGCAGAGGUCCAAUCCCUCCUUCCUUCCCUCCCUCCCUCCCUCAAUUGAGGCCAAGGGAGCCUCAGUCUGCAGCCUUAUUCCAGGAGGUUUGGGGAGGCUCCACCUGAGAGAGAGGGGAGGAAUUCUUAUGACCUUGCCUUGUCUCUCUCCUUGCAGUGUCUACAAGCUCCCUCAGCAGACAUCAACAGUAAGGGAGGGAAGGGGCUGUAAAAAGGGGACGGGUUCCUUCCUCUCCAUCCCCAAACCUCUUUUCCUCUCCCUGCCCCUCCUUGAACCUUUUUCCUCCUACUCUAGUCUUCUUACCCUGGGCUGACUUCCAAUUCCUUCUGUUUUGUCCCCAUACCCAUGAGGGAAGGGGACAGGCCCUAUUUCAAUCCUCUGCUCAAUUGGCUUUUACGGGACUCCGAAGCGGCAACACUGGCGGACAUCCCCAGCCUGGAGGAUGAGGUGUGGGACCCUCUCCCCAGCUCGAGCAGCUCCCUGGGGCACGAGGAAGAAGAAAACCCUGCUCUGCACCCUCAGAGAUGGUCCUCACUGACCCAGAGCAGGUAAGACCCAGAAUUCCCCCUGGCGAGACCUGGGACAACCACUGAGGAGGCAUUGCCCAACACCUUCCUCAGGAUGCAGAGAGGGGCCUCCUGCAUUGACGUUCUAGGUGGCAGGUUUGUCCAGAGAUGUCCAGCCUUCAGGUAGGCAGCUCUUCUCAGCUCCCUUUCAUUACCCAGUGGUCUCUGUGGCCACUAGAAAGGUAUGUUGGGACCCCAAUGCCCACUUCCUUCCAGCAGGCAUUGCACACACAUUCACCUGCUGCUGCUCUUCCUCCACUUUUGACCCAGGAGCCUCUCCAUCGCUGCCGGGUGCCAUUGUCUCCUUUUUUUCUUGACAGGCGAAAGAACACCUGCAGUGUCUUUGCUAGCUGGUUUGCAGUCCCUCCUCUGCAGAGGUCACGUGGGCAGUGGAUUACGUGGCCCGCAAACAUCUAAAGAUGGCCAUAGAUCACUUUCUGGAGUCCAACGGGAGUGCCUGUGGUGAAUUGAUAGUGCCGUACUAAAUUCACCAUAUUAUGGCCUGGAGGUGGCGCUCGAACUGUUCCUGGCCAAGGUGAAGGAGGGACCUUGGCUGGCCCAGGAGGGCAAGGAACAGGGUGGCCCCACUUUGGAUACCGCCACGGCAAGAGCAAUGCGGGCCAUUGGCAGGAUCAUCAGACACAUCAGGGACAGCACUCGCCUGGAGGCGUGGUUCCUGGAGCUUCUUUUUGUCUUGGUGACCAACAUCAUCAACGUCACAAGGCCUGGGUUGGAGGCAACCAGAAAAAAACGGAGUAACAGCUACGUUCCUCCAGAAAAACUGGCAAAGAUAAUCAUAGUGCUGGUGAAGAGGGUGUCCUGGGUGUCCUUCAAUGAGAUCUCCGAGAAGAUGCUAGAAGAACCCAGUAUCCUUCCUGAGGGUAUGGCCCUCAGUUGCAGAGCCUCCUCAAGUCCUCCCCCUCCCUACUCCUGCACAUGCUUUACAUCUGGGAGGCAGAAGCGCUGCUGGAGCAUUUGGCCAGCUUGGUGGCCUUCUACAUCCAUGUGAGGAGUGUUGCUGCUACACGUCAGCCAACACCUUCACUCCCCGGAGAAGACCUGGAUGCUGCUGACAGCCUGGCUCCAACAUCGCAGCCUGGCUGUUCAACAUCAGAACAGGCAGGGCCUUCUUCUCCUCUGCAAGUACAGGGAGACUGUGGGCCUUCAGGAGAUCCUUGACGGCGUCCUCAGGGGGCUGCAAUCCCCCCACACCAACAUGACUCCUGAACCUGGCUGGCCGGCUGGGGCUCCUGCGAAGACAGAGCCCCUGCAAAGGCACACCUGGCUGCCAGGUGACGCCUUCUCUUCCACCAUGAGGCGGCCAAGAUCUUGAAGACAGUCCUGGAAUGUUUCCAGCAUCUUAUCUGGCACCCAGAACUUCAAGAUCAGCCUUUGGGGCAGCAGUUUUUAACUUAUUAAAAGACAUGCCACUUUUUAUUUAGCUGCACCGACAAUGCACUUUAGAGAUCCCAUGGUGCCAGUUUCUAACUGCCAUCUCAAUUUAUUAAACAAGUGGCUCCUUCCCUUUAGGAUGGAAGCCGACAGGUGUGCUCCAGUCAGGUGUGUGUUGUAAGAGCUCACCAGCCAGUCUUGCUUUUUGCCUCUUUUUAUCUUUUUAUCUCAUGUAAUUUUGUUAUCUAGAACACUGCAAAUAAUAAUGAAACCCUUCACUUUGUAGACUGUUUUCCCUGUCCCAAAUGAUCUCUUCCAGUCUUGUCAAUGAAAAGCAAAGGAAGCCCUUUCUGAAUUUUUACUGCUGCAAAACAUUGCAAGAGAAGCAUGGAAAGUGUAUUGCUGAAAAAGGUCCAUGGGAGGGCACGAGAGGCAGAAAUAUUAUUCUGGAGGGGGGGGGUGCAGGAAGGAGCAGGCUUGCAUUUAAUAGCUUGUUUUGUGGACUGGUGGGUUUCUGUUAAAGCCCUCCACAGAGGUUUUUUGAUUGAAGUUUUGUGUAAUUUCCGGGCUGUAUGGCCCCAUGCAAAGAAUCGUUACCUUGACGUGGUGCUGGGGCUUGCGCACCUCGAUGAUGCCAUGAGCUAAACCAUGAAGGGGCACCCAAGAUGGGAAGGUCAUAGCAGAGAGGUCAGACUAAAUACGAUCCCUGGGUAAGGUAAUGGAAACCCACCCCAGUAUUCUUCUUAUAACUGAUCUUUAUUAAAUAUUUUCAGAAAGUGUACAUAAAAACUAAGGCAAAAACAAACAAACAAGAAGAAAAGGUGAAGAAUAGAUUUCAGAGACCCAAACCACCCAGAACCUGCAACUCAGGCCCAUUGACACUGACCCUUUCAUGAAGGUUGAGCUGCAUUUGUAUGGUCAGUGUAGGCUCAUCCCAAUUUCUCUGCACUAACCAUUUAAUUCAGUUCAAACUGCAUGAAAUGGACAGUGUAGCCAUAAAUGGCUACACUGCCAUAUACUCUAGAAUUCUAAUUAACUGCAGUUCAAAAUGGAUUAUACGGCAGUGUAGAUGGGGCCUAAGAAGAAGUGAGAGAAGAUGACAAUGAUGCCAUGUAGACUGGAUCCACAUUGCCUUAUAUUCCAGGAUUUGAUCCCAGAUUAUUUGCUAUAAACUGAACCAUAUGAGUCUGCACUGCCAGAUAAUCUAAGAUAAGAAGACUGCAUCCUGAGUCAGGGCUCCAACCAAUUAACCCAACUGCCUCUUUGUUUCUGGUACUUUUUGAUAUUUGCAGGAUUUUAAUGUUUUAAUGAUUUAUAUAGGAUUUUAAUGGCAUGUUUUAUAUUGUAUUUGAUGGUCUGGCUUUCGUGUAUUUGUUUGUCUUGCAUGCGAAAGACCUAAAUAAAUUUGGCAGGAGCUCUGGUGA
Anolis carolinensis (green anole) is the source of this 11200-nucleotide long non-coding RNA. RefSeq lists it as uncharacterized. NCBI's taxonomy places the organism in Eukaryota, Metazoa, Chordata, Lepidosauria, Squamata, Anolidae. The record is from RefSeq and is a predicted model, not a curated record. The transcript is spliced from 11 exons.